UUGAGGGAAGUAGUCCCUCUUCCUCUGUCCCAAGAUCUCGACACUGUUUCUUGGAGUCUUUCUCCUUCGGGAGAAUUCUCCCUUAGUUCGGCUUCUCAGGCGCUGUGCCGGUUGCCGGUUCUCCAGUGAUUAUCCCCAUUGUGGAAGGCGCCGAUGCCCCUGAAGAUCAAGAUUUUCGUGUGGCAGCUUCUCAGAGAUUGCUUACCUUCGGGGACCGAGGUGCUGAAACGCCAUGGUCCAGGCAAUGGCCUUUGCCCCCUUUGCCUCAUCCCGGAAACAGGAACACACAUCUUGUUCUCAUGCGUAGCAGCGCAGGCACUUUGGUGCUUUGUUCGUGAGGCCCUGGGACCAGAGUGGGAGGCCGACCUUGAAGUGUUUCUGCAGGUAAGGGCCACUCAGGUUGGCCGUAAGCGCCGACUGUUCUGGCUCAUCUUCACGGCUAUGACGUGGACUCUUUGGACUGCUCGCAAUAAGAUGGUGAUUGAGCGGGUGUUCCCGUGGCGUGCUUCUGAUUCGUUCUUCAAAUUUCUUGCCUUCUUGCAGCACUGGCAUCCGCUCGCUAGGCCGAGAGAUCGUGACCAGCUUCAGCUCUAUCUGGACGCUCUGCUGUCUUCCGCGCGCCGGCUCUCCGACCGUUCUUCUGCUUCGUAG
Molecule: ribosomal RNA, 651 nt
Filed under: Triticum aestivum (bread wheat)
Lineage: Eukaryota; Viridiplantae; Streptophyta; Magnoliopsida; Poales; Poaceae
Description: partial small subunit ribosomal RNA
Source: RNAcentral